GCACCCCCCCUCGUCCUCCUCCCUCCCCACCCUCUCUCACCCCCCUGUGUCCCAAACUAUGGCACAAUAGCGCUCAGCUCCUCUGUCUAUUCUGUGUCCAGCAGGAGCCCGCGGUGAUUCAUUGCUCCAAUUAGGGGCUCUGCAGCCCGUGGCUCGGGCUGUCUGAAGGGUCUCCUUUGGGACCCACGAAACCCAUCAGCCGCUGCCGCUGAUCUUUAAGGAAAGGUCAAGCCGGACGCAUUAGAGCCAGGAAAGCAGAGCUAACAAAAGGAUACAUUUUUUUUAAGUUUGGGAAAAGCAGAACCUAGGCAAUGCUGACAGGCCCGGCUCUCCAGAGACCAAGGCAAGAGGAUCUCAAGUUCAAGGCCAGCCUGAGCUACACAGUAAGACCCUGUCUCAAAGGCAAAGAGUCGAGGGACCCCAGAAAACCCCCCAUAUGGAGCACAGCAGUGGUGGUGUCCCGGCAUGCUGGGCAAGUGCUGAACACAAGCCUGGGCCUUGCAGGGACCAGUUCCUGAAUUUCCACAGGGCCCGUGGCAUGUCAUUGCACCCUGGCUGUCAGAUGAGAAGACUGAGGUUCAGAAUAAGGAGAAACCAGCCCAUAGGAACAGCAGGUUGGGUGGGAAAACAUACCCCCAUCUCACACACACACCCCUUAGAUGUUUCGAGUGAUUUUCCCUAAGUGUUCGUCUUUCAUGUGUCCCCAACUAUGCAUCUAAGAAAACUAAAGCUCUCACAGGCUCUGGCCUGGACACAAAGCCAGUUGUGUGGUGCCAGAUACUCAGACACCAAAAUGCUUUAGUAUCCACUUCAUGUUCAUGUCAUUCCAGCCCCCAGCCUGGCCGUUCACAUGUGCGAAGCUCAAACUGGAUUGAGCCAUCCACACAUGCCUGUCAAGAAUCAUAGCAUCGUUCGAGGCCAGCCUGGUCUACAAAAAUCAUCAGGCCAUCUGGCAGGAUGGUACCUCCUAUAAUCCCAGCACCCUGGAGAUGGAUGGGAAGUUCAAGGCCAGC
Long non-coding RNA from Onychomys torridus (southern grasshopper mouse), 1013 nucleotides. RefSeq lists it as uncharacterized. The record is from RefSeq and is a predicted model, not a curated record. Lineage: Eukaryota; Metazoa; Chordata; Mammalia; Rodentia; Cricetidae. The transcript is spliced from 3 exons.